GAUGAACGCUGGCGGCGUGCCUAAUACAUGCAAGUCGAGCGAACAGAUGAGGAGCUUGCUCCUCUGACGCUAGCGGCGGACGGGUGAGUAACACGUGGAUAACCUACCUAUAAGACUGGGAUAACUUCGGGAAACCGGAGCUAAUACCGGAUAAUAUAUUGAACCGCAUGGUUCAAUAGUGAAAGACGGUUUUGCUGUCACUUAUAGAUGGAUCCGCGCCGCAUUAGCUAGUUGGUAAGGUAACGGCUUACCAAGGCGACGAUGCGUAGCCGACCUGAGAGGGUGAUCGGCCACACUGGAACUGAGACACGGUCCAGACUCCUACGGGAGGCAGCAGUAGGGAAUCUUCCGCAAUGGGCGAAAGCCUGACGGAGCAACGCCGCGUGAGUGAUGAAGGUCUUCGGAUCGUAAAACUCUGUUAUUAGGGAAGAACAAAUGUGUAAGUAACUAUGCACGUCUUGACGGUACCUAAUCAGAAAGCCACGGCUAACUACGUG
Molecule: ribosomal RNA, 497 nt
Filed under: uncultured bacterium
Lineage: Bacteria
Description: partial 16S ribosomal RNA
Rfam family: Bacterial small subunit ribosomal RNA
Source: RNAcentral